RNAcentral lists this unclassified non-coding RNA (506 nucleotides) under Hevea brasiliensis (rubber tree). Lineage: Eukaryota; Viridiplantae; Streptophyta; Magnoliopsida; Malpighiales; Euphorbiaceae. The record is from RNAcentral.
GGCUCAAAUUUCUUUCCAUAAUAUUGCUCGACGACACUUCUGAACUUCUCAAUCCCCCAGGAACUGAUCAAAUAUUUCAUUCUACUGUAUUUUCUAUCAUCUCUCCUCCCAUUUUCUCGUUGGGUAACAACAAUAGCUUUCACUGCAUAUAAAAUGUCUUCUUUUGGUACAUAACCCAAAGGUUCAGCCAGGCGUGGAAAAGUGGUCUCCAACCUAUGUGUUCUUCCCAUACCACCACCAACAUAUAUAUUGAACCCCUGAGGCUCCCCAUUCGCAUCAGUAACCACAACAACACCAAUAUCAUUUGUGAGAAUAUCCACAGAGUUAUCUGUUGGUACAGUGACUGCAAUUUUAAACUUCCUAGGCAAGAACUGGGUUCCAUAAAUAGGCUCCGGCGAGCCAGGGAAGUUCGUUCCAUGAGAAUUGUCAUUCCGGGCCUUCACCACCUCAGGAGGUUCUGCAGUCAUGAUUUUCUCACCAUCCACCCACAUAUCAUAGUAGAACCC